Molecule: long non-coding RNA, 772 nt
Organism: Rattus norvegicus (Norway rat)
Lineage: Eukaryota; Metazoa; Chordata; Mammalia; Rodentia; Muridae
Source: RefSeq, a predicted model, not a curated record
CAAUGGGCGAAGUAGGAAAUAGACUUGUCCAUAUCUUUCAGAGAAAAGCGAGGUAGGGAGUGAGUAGGUCCACCUUGACUGAGAUGGGAAGCGGAGGGACCAGAGUUUACCCAGUGGUGUGGGAUGAAGCCCCUGUAGCCAUAGCCAUAGUAAGAUGGGCUCUGAGCACCUGGUGAGGCUCCUCACGCACCACACCGUGGCAGUGCUCAGGAGGAGGCCAGCGGUGCUCUUUAGCAUUCAUAACAGACUCACCAGAGUCUCUGAAGAUCUGAAGGUCUUCAGCCAAUGAGAAAACAGAAGCAGGGUGUUUAUUUAAAAUAAUAAAUGAGCUUUACCCUCUGCUCCCAUAAUCCAUGCAGUUGGUACUGACUGUUUUCUGCAAGCUGGAGUCACACUGGCGUGGGUGCUUCAAAACCACGUUGUAAGGUGACAAAGAAGAGGGGACCCUUCUCCCUAAUCACACGAGGAAAGCGCCUGAGUUCUUUGUUCCUCUGUCUGGCCCAAUGACUUCAAAACAACCAGAUAACUGAACAUCACUGGAGGAGUUUUCAACGACAGCCAUUAGCUUAAGAGAUCCGUCUGUUUUCUCUCAGACACCGGGCCACCGUUUUUAAAGAGUCUUUUUCCUAAGCCAAGAAGUCAUACAAAUAAUAUUUAAAGGCAAAGAGGCUCUCUCUGGGACAGAUUGGAUAGUUCAGCAGUCAAGUGGUUUUCUGUUCCUGCUUGUUGACAUCUCUUGUUUUUAAUCUACUUUUGUGGAAAAGCAAGGCAA